Brassica napus (rape) is the source of this 101-nucleotide non-coding RNA. NCBI's taxonomy places the organism in Eukaryota, Viridiplantae, Streptophyta, Magnoliopsida, Brassicales, Brassicaceae. The record is from Rfam.
AGAAUGAGGUUGACCCAAGGAUGACUUGCCUAUUUUUACCAACGCAUCUAAAUUUUGAUUCUGGUGCUAGGCAAGUUGGGCUUGGCUCUCUUUCCUUCUCU